Molecule: ribosomal RNA, 495 nt
Filed under: uncultured bacterium
Lineage: Bacteria
Description: bacterial SSU rRNA
Rfam family: Bacterial small subunit ribosomal RNA
Source: RNAcentral
CAUGCGAACGAUUAGCUAGUUGGUAGGGUAACGGCCUACCAAGGCUACGAUCGUUAGGGGAACUGAGAGGUUCGGUCCCCCACACUGGCACUGAGAUACGGGCCAGACUCCUACGGGAGGCAGCAGUAGGGAAUAUUGGUCAAUGGAGGGAACUCUGAACCAGCCAUGCCGCGUGCAGGAAGAAGGCCCUCUGGGUUGUAAACUGCUUUUGACAGGGAACAAGAAGGCCAUGCGUGGUUUAGUGAGUGUACCUGUAGAAUAAGCCACGGCUAACUACGUGCCAGCAGCCGCGGUAAUACGUAGGUGGCAAGCGUUGUCCGGAUUUAUUGGGUUUAAAGGGUGCGUAGGCGGCUUUUUAAGUCAGUUGUGAAAUAUCUCGGCUUAACCGAGAGGGUGCGAUUGAUACUGGGAAGCUUGAGUUACAGCGAGGUCAGCGGAAUUGAUGGUGUAGCGGUGAAAUGCAUAGAUAUCAUCAAGAACACCGAUAGCGAAGGC